UUCUCACUCCCUCACUCACCUGCCUUCGCCGUCGGGACUCCUUUCUCGAAUCCUCUACAGCCGCUAACAUGACGGACAAAAGCGUCUAUGGCGGUCUCUUUCAAGACCCGCCGUACCUGUCCUCCGACCCGGAUCCGAAAAAGACGGACCCCUACGACAAGAAGGAUGCCAUCCCGUCAAGGUACUUGGGCAAGAAUAUGACGAUCGGCGGCCGUGUGCCGCCUGGCCAGCACCCCGACGCCUACUUCGACAAGAGGUUCCUCACCCUCGCCUCCUCGGAGCAGAAUGGAGGUAAGCCGGUGGACUACGACGAAAGCAAGCGGCUCACCGCCGCCUCCAAGACAAACACCAAGAACGCCAUCUCCGACAAAGAGUUUUGCUACUCAUCGUACCCGGAGAAGAGCACCGGCCCGGGCAGCUACUAUGGAUGCUUUCAGAAUCGCCCGUACGAAUACAUGACGGAGCCGUGGGAUGAUGGAAAGUCCAAGAAGAAGAGGACAACGAAGACGAAGGAGGAGGAGCCGACGCACUUGCCUAACAUCAAGACGAACCCCACCAAGAAGGGCACGUAUGGCUACCCCGGACUGCUACUGAGCAACCCUUCUUACGACGACGACUGGAAGAAGGACUACGCUGCAGCAGAGGCAAACAGGGCACGCAGGGAGCGUAAGCAGGGCCCCGCACCAAAGGCUCUAGGGCCACCGUUUCACAUUCCUGGUGUGAGCCACUCUUACAUCGACGAGAUGCCGAAUACAGGUGUGUCCGCGGUGUAUGCGGCCUACGAGGCCCCGGCAGAUAGCGCUGCUGCGAAGCGCAAGGCCAAGAGGGAAGCUGCGGCUGCUCCUACCCUAGUCCACGAGCGCGCGUUCUACGGGUCUGCCAACCGGUCCGGCGAGCCGGGUUGCCUGAACCCGUUCCCCAACGUGUGGGUGCACCCGGAUGAGACGCAGCCGUCGAAGUUCGCGCUGCGCAAACAGGCGCAGAAGGAGAAGGAGGAGGCGGCUCGGCAGCCCAAAAGAACCGAAGUGUGGAGGCCGAACUCUUUCGGGAAGACGUCUGUAGUGUCCUCGUGCCUUCGCCGAUUCUACUGAGCGACUCGGUCCCUGUCGUUGUUGUUGCCGAUCAAAGUCUCCCCUAAUCAGCCUUGCUUUUUGUGCGAGAGUGUGUGUGUUCUCUUGCUGGCAGGGCUGCAUCUCCUUUCUCACUCGUCUUUGCGGGGAAAGAUCUGCAGGGCUCUUCUUUGGAGUUCCGUGGCCGGUGCUCGGCUAGCUGCCGUAGACGGUGGAUAGGGCGGAUGUGGCGAGGUGGGGACCGGCGAGGAAGGCAACACGCCGUCUCACUCCGUGUUUCUGACCCUCUGAUCAUGGAUGAUCACUUGCGUGCCUGCCGCCCUGCGAUGCUGGCACUGCGGGAUCUGCCAGCCCUCCUCUCUUUCUACCUCACUCCUUGUUCUUUCUCUACCGCCGGUGAAGGAAAAGGGUAGGGGGAAAGCCCCUGGAAAAAAGGGCAAAUACGGGCUGCGCGUGCACCCUUCCCCUUCCCAGGGUCUCCCUUCGCCUUUGCUUUGAUAUCUGAAAAUGCUGCUGUCGUUGGAUUUCAUCACUCUCGUUGCGCGCAUGUACGCUAACCUCCUCUCCCCCUACUGCCUUGACCGGGGGGAGGAAAGGGGCCUUUCGGAGUUGUCUGCCUGGAGCCACUUAUACUUCUUUUCCGUUUCCGGAUCCUUCCGCAUGUACAGCGAAGAAUUCACGAUGGACGAGAUUGAAAGGAGGUAAGGGGGAGGGGAAGCCGCCGACUGAGGCGUCUUUUUGCUCGCUCUCACCUCCUGUGUCGCGUGCGCUCUCAUCGGCGUCUAGCGGCACACCCUAUCCGUUAUCCUCGCUCAUCUCUCCACUUCCGCACCAUCACCUCUUUGGCCUCCCCUCUCUCGCCCUUCUUUUCGUUUGUUUGCUCGCUUUUUCAUUGCCCAUGUAUGCUGUGAGGAGAACCUGACUCCUGUGAUUCCUGUGCUCCUGCCUUUCCCUUCUCAGCCUGCCCCCCUUCCUUCCCUUCCCUUUCCUCGCAGCCUCAUCUGGCGCGGCGUGCAUUCUGACAUAUGAUGUCUCUGUUGACGGGCAAUCGCAAAGACAGCGACACUAACGAGAAUGCGCAGUACGCGAAAACAGCUCGUCUUCGUUCGACUCUUCUCUCCAUGCAUUCUCUCUCCUUUGAGUUUCCCCACUUCUACGUUGGCCUGACUAGCAGCCAUUCCCACACUCAAAGGACCUGGAGAAGAACGGUGGCGAAAAGCUACGAGCAAACUUCGUACAUGACGGCGCCAAUCGUGGGGCCCCGCGCUGAACGAUCCCCUUCUCAUCGUCCAGCGCGCCUUGACUUCCCCUCUCUUCUUUCACUUUCCUGUUCUCCCCUUCCCUACUCUCUAUCUACUGAUUUGUUUCUUCGAAUUUCCGGCUGCUUGCACACACCCCGUUUGCGUGUAUGUCCCCGCACACAUAUGCGCAUGUCAUGAUGCGCGUGCGCGUAUGCGCGUUCGCUGUGUUGUUGCGUUUGCCGCUCAACUUCUUUUUGUACUGCUUCGACUCACUGUUUGCACUGUGUGAGCGUCGCUGCUCUUACGCCCAUACAUAUAUAUAUAUAUAUGCACGCCAACAUGCACACCGUUGCACAUACCGGUCAAG
RNAcentral lists this unclassified non-coding RNA (2678 nucleotides) under Leishmania donovani. RNAcentral describes it as "gene:LdHU3.29.3940(CDS-product:Domain_of_unknown_ function_(DUF4586)_putative)". Lineage: Eukaryota; Euglenozoa; Kinetoplastea; Trypanosomatida; Trypanosomatidae. The record is from RNAcentral.